GGCCCCGUAGCUCAGCUGGAUAGAGCGUCCCCCUCCUAAGGGGAAGGUCGCCCGUUCGAAUCGGGCCGGGGUCA
Molecule: non-coding RNA, 74 nt
Organism: Stenotrophomonas panacihumi
Lineage: Bacteria; Pseudomonadati; Pseudomonadota; Gammaproteobacteria; Lysobacterales; Lysobacteraceae
Source: Rfam